Molecule: long non-coding RNA, 332 nt
Filed under: Salmo salar (Atlantic salmon)
Lineage: Eukaryota; Metazoa; Chordata; Actinopteri; Salmoniformes; Salmonidae
Description: lncRNA (ENSSSAG00000094681.1)
Source: RNAcentral
UUUAGUUAGCAGGGCCAUAACCAGGUUUGUUAUUUAGUCAGCAGGGUCAUAACCAGGUUUGUUAUUUAGUCAGCAGGGUCAUAACCAGGUUUGUUAUUUAGUUAGCAGGGCCAUAACCAGGUUUGUUAUUUAGUCAGCAGGGCCAUAACCAGGUUUGUUAUUUAGUCAGCAGGGUCAUAACCAGGUUUGUUAUUUAGUCAGCAGGGUCAUAACCAGGUUUGUUAUUUAGUCAGCAGGGUCAUAACCAGGUUUGUUAUUUAGUCAGCAGGGUCAUAACCAGGUUUGUUAUUUAGUCAGGGCCAUAACCAGGUUUGUUAUUUAGUCAGCAGGGC